GAGAUUACUCAGGGUGUAUAGCUUUUUGGUAGGAUGAUCAGAUUAGGAUGAUGUAUAGGGACUAGGGGUCCUUCUUUUUGGUUGGAAGUAUUUUUAGUUCGGAAAACUGUACUUAUACAAAUAUUAUCAGUUUGAUAUCAUCUUUGGAUGGGUUCCAUGUACCAUUUGAUGUUAUGUAAAUGUUUUGGAUUUAUAAUUGGAGAAACUUUUCCACUGCGUAAAUU
This 224-nucleotide long non-coding RNA is filed under the name Cicer arietinum (chickpea). RNAcentral's name for it is "long non-coding RNA (CARI_LNC002736)". The record is from RNAcentral. Lineage: Eukaryota; Viridiplantae; Streptophyta; Magnoliopsida; Fabales; Fabaceae.